Molecule: long non-coding RNA, 307 nt
Filed under: Oryza brachyantha (malo sina)
Lineage: Eukaryota; Viridiplantae; Streptophyta; Magnoliopsida; Poales; Poaceae
Description: long non-coding RNA (OBRA_LNC001394)
Source: RNAcentral
AUAAUCGAAUGUCAGUAUAUGAAUCCACGAGGGAUAGUGUUAAAUUUAUUAAAAAUCUAAUCAUCUAGGGAUAGUGUCAAAUUUAUGAAAAUCUAAUCACAGACAUGAAUUUGCUGUUCCGAACAGCAAAUACAAAGGAAAAUUCAGAAAUUUGUACAUCUAAUGUCAUAUGUACUGUACCUUCAAUGAAGCGAUCAAAACGGAAUAAGCAGACUUAAUUCGCUCACGGCAGUGUCGAAUGAAUUCUAACAGCAGGAGUGAAGGGAAUAAAUUAUUGAGUGAAUAAAUGAUCAUGGCUUAGAUAGAA